CAACAAAAAAAAACCGGCGCCCGAUCCCGUCCGAUCUCGGAAGCUAAGCAGGACCGGGCCUGGUUAGUACUUGGACGGGAGACCGCCUGGGAAUACCAGGUGCUGUAGG
This 109-nucleotide ribosomal RNA is filed under the name Mastacembelus armatus (zig-zag eel). The record is from RNAcentral. Lineage: Eukaryota; Metazoa; Chordata; Actinopteri; Synbranchiformes; Mastacembelidae.